Molecule: microRNA, 22 nt
Filed under: Brugia malayi
Lineage: Eukaryota; Metazoa; Nematoda; Chromadorea; Rhabditida; Onchocercidae
Description: bma-miR-9510
Source: miRBase by way of RNAcentral
UUUCCCAUCUUUUUCUCUUCAG